GAAAUGCGAUAAGUAGUGUGAAUUGCAGAAUUCAGUGAAUCAUCGAAUCUUUGAACGCACAUUGCGCCCCUUGGUAUUCCAUGGGGCAUGCCUGUUCGAGCGUCAUUUGUACCCUCAAGCUCUGCUUGGUGUUGGGUGUUUGUCCCGUCUCCGCGCGUGGACUCGCCCCAAAGUGAUUGGCAGCCGGCGUACUGGUCCCGGAGCGCAGCACAUGUCGCGCAAACGAGUGCCUUGGUACGGCGGCGUCCAUAAGCCCCUCUCUCACGCUCUUGACCUCGGAUCAGGUAGGGAUACCCGCUGAACUUAAGU
RNAcentral lists this unclassified non-coding RNA (309 nucleotides) under plant metagenome. Its description in RNAcentral is "partial contains 5.8S ribosomal RNA, internal transcribed spacer 2, and large subunit ribosomal RNA". The stretch from base 1 to 105 matches the Rfam family "5.8S ribosomal RNA", at positions 50 to 154 of the family's 154-position model. The record is from RNAcentral.